Ceratotherium simum simum (southern white rhinoceros) is the source of this 98-nucleotide non-coding RNA. The record is from RefSeq and is a predicted model, not a curated record. NCBI's taxonomy places the organism in Eukaryota, Metazoa, Chordata, Mammalia, Perissodactyla, Rhinocerotidae.
AAAUAGCAGUGGUGAAAGCAGGCAUCCUUGUCUUGUUCUUGAUCUUAGGAUGAAAGCUCUCAGUCUUUCACCAUCGGGUAUAAUAGCACCAUCAAACA